GACGAACGCUGGCGGCGUGCUUAACACAUGUAAGUCGAACGGAAAGGCCUGCUUUCCCUUGUGGAUUGCGGGUACUCGAGUGGCGAACGGGUGAGUAACACGUGAGUGAUCUGCCCCCAACUUGGGUAUAAGCCUGGGAAACUGGGUCUAAUUCCCGAUAGGACUGCAGGGUGGUGCCUGUGGUGGAAAACGAUUUUCUAGUGGUUGGGGAUGAGCUCGCGGCCUAUCAGCUUGUUGGUGGGGUAAUGGCCUACCAAGGCGGCGACGGGUAGCCGGCCUGAGAGGGUGGACGGCCACAUUGGGACUGAGAUACGGCCCAGACUCCUACGGGAGGCAGCAGUGGGGAAUAUUGCACAAUGGGCGGAAGCCUGAUGCAGCGACGCCGCGUGGGGGAUGACGGCCUUCGGGUUGUAAACUCCUUUCGACCGCGAGGAAGCCACCUGGUUGGAAGGGUGGUGACGGUAGUGGUAGAAGAAGCACCGGCUAACUACGUG
Molecule: ribosomal RNA, 494 nt
Filed under: uncultured bacterium
Lineage: Bacteria
Description: partial 16S ribosomal RNA
Rfam family: Bacterial small subunit ribosomal RNA
Source: RNAcentral